GAUGAACGCUAGCGGUAGGCUUAACACAUGCAAGUCGAGGGGUAUUGGUUUUCGGACCAAGAGACCGGCGCACGGGUGCGUAACGCGUAUGCAAUCUACCUUUUGCAGAGGGAUAGCCCAGAGAAAUUUGGAUUAAUACCUCAUAGUAUAGCGACAUCGCAUGAUGAUGCUAUUAAAGUCACAACGGCAAAAGAUGAGCAUGCGUCCCAUUAGCUAGUUGGUAAGGUAACGGUUUACCAAGGCAACGAUGGGUAGGGGUCCUGAGAGGGAGAUCCCCCACACUGGUACUGAGACACGGACCAGACUCCUACGGGAGGCAGCAGUGAGGAAUAUUGGACAAUGGGCGCAAGCCUGAUCCAGCCAUGCCGCGUGCAGGAUGACGGUCCUAUGGAUUGUAAACUGCUUUUAUACGAGAAGAAACACUCCAACGUGUUGGAGCUUGACGGUAUCGUAAGAAUAAGGAUCGGCUAACUCCGUGCC
This 480-nucleotide ribosomal RNA is filed under the name uncultured bacterium. RNAcentral's name for it is "bacterial SSU rRNA". It matches the Rfam family "Bacterial small subunit ribosomal RNA", at positions 28 to 509 of the family's 1533-position model. The record is from RNAcentral.